Molecule: ribosomal RNA, 515 nt
Filed under: Listeria monocytogenes
Lineage: Bacteria; Bacillati; Bacillota; Bacilli; Caryophanales; Listeriaceae
Description: bacterial SSU rRNA
Rfam family: Bacterial small subunit ribosomal RNA
Source: RNAcentral
GUAGGGAAUCUUCCGCAAUGGACGAAAGUCUGACGGAGCAACGCCGCGUGUAUGAAGAAGGUUUUCGGAUCGUAAAGUACUGUUGUUAGAGAAGAACAAGGAUAAGAGUAACUGCUUGUCCCUUGACGGUAUCUAACCAGAAAGCCACGGCUAACUACGUGCCAGCAGCCGCGGUAAUACGUAGGUGGCAAGCGUUGUCCGGAUUUAUUGGGCGUAAAGCGCGCGCAGGCGGUCUUUUAAGUCUGAUGUGAAAGCCCCCGGCUUAACCGGGGAGGGUCAUUGGAAACUGGAAGACUGGAGUGCAGAAGAGGAGAGUGGAAUUCCACGUGUAGCGGUGAAAUGCGUAGAUAUGUGGAGGAACACCAGUGGCGAAGGCGACUCUCUGGUCUGUAACUGACGCUGAGGCGCGAAAGCGUGGGGAGCAAACAGGAUUAGAUACCCUGGUAGUCCACGCCGUAAACGAUGAGUGCUAAGUGUUAGGGGGUUUCCGCCCCUUAGUGCUGCAGCUAACGCAU